Molecule: ribosomal RNA, 375 nt
Filed under: uncultured bacterium
Lineage: Bacteria
Description: bacterial SSU rRNA
Rfam family: Bacterial small subunit ribosomal RNA
Source: RNAcentral
UAAUACGUAGGGUGCGAGCGUUAAUCGGAAUUACUGGGCGUAAAGUGUGCGCAGGUGGCCGCGCAAGUCGAGUGUGAAAUCCCCGAGCUUAACUUGGGAAUUGCGCUCGAAACUACGUGGCUCGAGUGUGGCAGAGGAAGGUGGAAUUCCACGUGUAGCGGUGAAAUGCGUAGAGAUGUGGAGGAACACCGAUGGCGAAGGCAGCCUUCUGGGCCAACACUGACGCUCAUGCACGAAAGCGUGGGGAGCAAACAGGAUUAGAUACCCUGGUAGUCCACGCCCUAAACUAUGUCAACUGGUUGUCGGGGAAGCAAUUCCUUGGUAACGAAGCUAACGCGUGAAGUUGACCGCCUGGGGAGUACGGCCGCAAGGUUA